GACGAACGCUGGCGGCGUGCUUAACACAUGCAAGUCGAACGGAAAGGCCCUGCUUUUGUGGGGUGCUCGAGUGGCGAACGGGUGAGUAACACGUGAGUAACCUGCCCUUGACUUUGGGAUAACUUCAGGAAACUGGGGCUAAUAACGGAUAGGAGCUCCUGCUGCAUGGUGGGGGGUGGAAAGUUUCGGCGGUUGGGGAUGGACUCGCGGCUUAUCAGCUUGUUGGUGGGGUAGUGGCUUACCAAGGCUUUGACGGGUAGCCGGCCUGAGAGGGUGACCGGCCACAUUGGGACUGAGAUACGGCCCAGACUCCUACGGGAGGCAGCGGUGGGGAAUAUUGCACAAUGGGCGGAAGCCUGAUGCAGCAACGCCGCGUGCGGGAUGACGGCCUUCGGGUUGUAAACCGCUUUCGCCUGUGACGAAGCGUGAGUGACGGUAAUGGGUAAAGAAGCACCGGCUAACUACGUG
Molecule: ribosomal RNA, 468 nt
Filed under: uncultured bacterium
Lineage: Bacteria
Description: partial 16S ribosomal RNA
Rfam family: Bacterial small subunit ribosomal RNA
Source: RNAcentral